CUGCUGCCUCCCGUAGGAGUCUGGGCCGUAUCUCAGUCCCAAUGUGGCCGGCCAACCUCUCAGUCCGGCUACUGAUCGUCGCCUUGGUGGGCCGUUACCUCACCAACUAGCUAAUCAGACGCGAGGCCAUCUUCCAGCGAUAAAUCUUUGACGUCGGAGUCAUGCGGCUCCAACGUAUCAUGCGGUAUUAGCAGUCGUUUCCAACUGUUGUCCCCCUCUGGAAGGCAGGUUCCUCACGCGUUACU
This 245-nucleotide ribosomal RNA is filed under the name uncultured bacterium. RNAcentral describes it as "partial 16S ribosomal RNA". The record is from RNAcentral.